ACGGGUGAGUAACACGUGGGCAACCUGCCCCUUAGACUGGGAUAACUCCGGGAAACCGGAGCUAAUACCGGAUAAUCCCUUUCUCCACCUGGAGAGAGGGUGAAAGAUGGCUUCGGCUAUCACUAGGGGAUGGGCCCGCGGCGCAUUAGCUAGUUGGUAAGGUAACGGCUUACCAAGGCAACGAUGCGUAGCCGACCUGAGAGGGUGAUCGGCCACACUGGGACUGAGACACGGCCCAGACUCCUACGGGAGGCAGCAGUAGGGAAUCUUCCGCAAUGGACGAAAGUCUGACGGAGCAACGCCGCGUGAGUGAGGAAGGCCUUCGGGUCGUAAAGCUCUGUUGUGAGGGAGGAAGCGGUACCGUUCGAAUAGGGCGGUACCUUGACGGUACCUCACCAGAAAGCCACGGCUAACUACGUGCCAGCAGCCGCGGUAAUACGUAGGUGGCAAGCGUUGUCCGGAAUUAUUGGGCGUAAAGCGCGCGCAGGCGGCUUCUUAAGUCUGAUGUGAAAUCUCGGGGCUCAACCCCGAGCGGCCAUUGGAAACUGGGGAGCUUGAGUGCAGAAGAGGAGAGUGGAAUUCCAC
RNAcentral lists this ribosomal RNA (585 nucleotides) under uncultured bacterium. Its description in RNAcentral is "bacterial SSU rRNA". It matches the Rfam family "Bacterial small subunit ribosomal RNA", at positions 102 to 672 of the family's 1533-position model. The record is from RNAcentral.